Molecule: ribosomal RNA, 253 nt
Filed under: uncultured bacterium
Lineage: Bacteria
Description: partial 16S ribosomal RNA
Rfam family: Bacterial small subunit ribosomal RNA
Source: RNAcentral
UACGUAGGUGGCAAGCGUUGUCCGGAAUUAUUGGGCGUAAAGCGCGCGCAGGCGGUCCUUUAAGUCUGAUGUGAAAUCCCCGGGCUCAACCUGGGAAUGGCAUUUGGGACUGCAAGGCUGGAGUUUGGCAGAGGAGACUGGAAUUCCUGGUGUAGCAGUGAAAUGCGUAGAUAUCAGGAGGAAUACCGAUGGCGAAGGCAGGUCUCUGGGCUAUAACUGACGCUCAUGCACGAAAGCGUGGGGAGCAAACAGG